This 72-nucleotide transfer RNA is filed under the name Arabidopsis suecica. RNAcentral's name for it is "tRNA-Cys". It matches the Rfam family "tRNA". Rfam says of the family: Transfer RNA (tRNA) molecules are approximately 80 nucleotides in length. Their secondary structure includes four short double-helical elements and three loops (D, anti-codon, and T loops). Lineage: Eukaryota; Viridiplantae; Streptophyta; Magnoliopsida; Brassicales; Brassicaceae. The record is from RNAcentral.
GGGUUCAUAGCUCAGUGGUAGAGCAAUUGACUGCAGAUCAAUAGGUCACCGGUUUGAACCCGGUUGGGCCCU